GGAUGCGAUCAUACCAGCACUAAAGCACCGGAUCCCAUCAGAACUCCGAAGUUAAGCGUGGUUGGGCGAGAGUAGUACUAGGAUGGCUGACCUCCUGGGAAGUCCUCGUGUUGCAUUCC
RNAcentral lists this ribosomal RNA (119 nucleotides) under Triticum aestivum (bread wheat). The record is from RNAcentral. Lineage: Eukaryota; Viridiplantae; Streptophyta; Magnoliopsida; Poales; Poaceae.